CGGCGUGCUUAACACAUGCAAGUCGAACGGAAAGGCCCUGCUUUUGUGGGGUGCUCGAGUGGCGAACGGGUGAGUAACACGUGAGUAACCUGCCCUUGACUUUGGGAUAACUUCAGGAAACUGGGGCUAAUACCGGAUAGGAGCUCCUGCUGCAUGGUGGGGGUCGGAAAGUUUCGGCGGUUGGGGAUGGACUCGCGGCUUAUCAGCUUGUUGGUGGGGUAGUGGCUUACCAAGGCUUUGACGGGUAGCCGGCCUGAGAGGGUGACCGGCCACAUUGGGACUGAGAUACGGCCCAGACUCCUACGGGAGGCAGCAGUGGGGAAUAUUGCACAAUGGGCGGAAGCCUGAUGCAGCAACGCCGCGUGCGGGAUGACGGCCUUCGGGUUGUAAACCGCUUUCGCCUGUGACGAAGCGUGAGUGACGGUAAUGGGUAAAGAAGCACCGGCUAACUACGUGCCAGCAGCCGCGGUGAUACGUAGGGUGCGAGCGUUGUCCGGAUUUAUUGGGCGUAAAGGGCUCGUAGGUGGUUGAUCGCGUCGGAAGUGUAAUCUUGGGGCUUAACCCUGAGCGUGCUUUCGAUACGGGUUGACUUGAGGAAGGUAGGGGAGAAUGGAAUUCCUGGUGGAGCGGUGGAAUGCGCAGAUAUCAGGAGGAACACCAGUGGCGAAGGCGGUUCUCUGGGCCUUUCCUGACGCUGAGGAGCGAAAGCGUGGGGAGCGAACAGGCUUAGAUACCCUGGUAGUCCACGCUGUAAACGGUGGGUACUAGGUGUGGGGUCCAUUCCACGGGUUCCGUGCCGUAGCUAACGCUUUAAGUACCCCGCCUGGGGAGUACGGCCGCAAGGCUAAAACUCAAAGGAAUUGACGGGGCCCCGCACAAGCGGCGGAGCAUGCGGAGUAAUUCGAUGCAACGCGUAGAACCUUACCUGGGUUUGACAUGGAUCGGGAGUGCUCAGAGAUGGGUGUGCCUCUUUUGGGGUCGGUUCACAGGUGGUGCAUGGCUGUCGUCAGCUCGUGUCGUGAGAUGUUGGGUUAAGUCCCGCAACGAGCGCAACCCUUGUUCACUGUUGCCAGCACGUUAUGGUGGGGACUCAGUGGAGACCGCCGGGGUCAACUCGGAGGAAGGUGGGGAUGACGUCAAGUCAUCAUGCCCCUUAUGUCCAGGGCUUCACGCAUGCUACAAUGGCUGGUACAGAGAGUGGCGAGCCUGUGAGGGUGAGCGAAUCUCGGAAAGCCGGUCUCAGUUCGGAUUGGGGUCUGCAACUCGACCUCAUGAAGUCGGAGUCGCUAGUAAUCGCAGAUCAGCAACGCUGCGGUGAAUACGUUCCCGGGGCUUGUACACACCGCCCGUCAAGUCAUGAAAGUUGGUAACACCCGAAGCCGGUGGCCUAACCGUUGUGGGGGAGCCGUCGAAGGUGGGACUGGUGAUUAGG
This 1432-nucleotide ribosomal RNA is filed under the name uncultured organism. Its description in RNAcentral is "16S ribosomal RNA". It matches the Rfam family "Bacterial small subunit ribosomal RNA". The record is from RNAcentral.